RNAcentral lists this long non-coding RNA (532 nucleotides) under Setaria italica (foxtail millet). RNAcentral describes it as "long non-coding RNA (SITA_LNC002725)". Lineage: Eukaryota; Viridiplantae; Streptophyta; Magnoliopsida; Poales; Poaceae. The record is from RNAcentral.
UUUGAGUAUAAUCUAUUUCUUCUGCUCGAAUUAUCUAAACAAAACGAAGCGUAGUGUGAUACGGCAGAUGCUCGUAUCAUGUCAGAACAAGGCAGCAGCAAAAAAUGGGUUCAGCAGGCACUCCAGGAUGGUUCUCCAUCAAUCAACAAAUACAACGACUGCGUCUCUACUGCAGUGCUUUCGGGAUUUGUCUGCACCAGCUGAGAAGCCAUAUGUAUUCACAGAAAGAACUUGCCCUCCGCAGCUCAGCAAAACAAGGCUGCAGCACUUGUGCUCCUGGGAAAAAAAAUUAGCAGGCGCCAUCAUUAUGUACUCAAUGAAAUAAUUGUGCCAGGACCUGUAACAGGAGAUGACACAUGAGACUCAAAGUUGAAUAAAAUCUCACCUUUCAGAAGACGACUAGAAGGGGCUGCCAGUCAUCACCACACAGCUACUUUUAAAUUUGGACAGCUACAAAAACUAUAAUUGCAGUGGUCAGUGGAUUCAUCUAUUUUGAAUUGGAGACCUUCAGUAGCUCAUGGAAUGCUUCUUG